Long non-coding RNA from Chenopodium quinoa (quinoa), 395 nucleotides. RefSeq lists it as uncharacterized. The record is from RefSeq and is a predicted model, not a curated record. The transcript is spliced from 2 exons. NCBI's taxonomy places the organism in Eukaryota, Viridiplantae, Streptophyta, Magnoliopsida, Caryophyllales, Amaranthaceae.
CUUUCAUCUCCUCUCCCUAGCUUCUUCGAUCUCCUCUCUUUCUUUGAUCUACACCACCACAAAUUCGACCACCGCCACAAAGCCCACCACCACAACAUCACCACUGCCGCAAAGCCCCUGCCACCACCACAAAGGUCGACGGCCGCCGCAAAUCCCACCGACAAUUUCUGGGUAUAAUUUAUACGAGUUCGUGAGUUAUCUUCGUCGAAAAUUGAUGGCCGAUACUUUGCUUCUGCAAUUCAGCUAUUGAGCUCGUUCGUCGAAUCCAUUUGGUUUUUUUUUGGGCAAGUGUAAAACUACUGAUUAUAAAUUUCAAUUAUAUUAUGUAUUAAUGUAUUAUGUAACAUUUUGGUGAUUAUGAAUUUCAAUUAUAUUUGGUGUGUUAUUACUGAUUA